This is a long non-coding RNA of Haliotis rubra (blacklip abalone), 176 nucleotides long. RefSeq lists it as uncharacterized. The record is from RefSeq and is a predicted model, not a curated record. The transcript has 3 exons. Lineage: Eukaryota; Metazoa; Mollusca; Gastropoda; Lepetellida; Haliotidae.
UUUCUAGUGUCAUAUGUCCUGGUGUCAUUUUCUAGUUUCAUAUGUCCUGGUGUCAUUUUCUAGUGUCAUAUAUCCUGGUGUCAUAUUCUAGUGUCAUAUGUUCUGGUGACAGUUUCUAGUGUCAUAUGUCCUGGUGUCCUUUUCUAGUGUCAUAUGUCCUGGUAUCAUUUUCUAGU